This 564-nucleotide ribosomal RNA is filed under the name uncultured bacterium. Its description in RNAcentral is "bacterial SSU rRNA". It matches the Rfam family "Bacterial small subunit ribosomal RNA", at positions 359 to 933 of the family's 1533-position model. The record is from RNAcentral.
GAAUAUUCUGCAACGGACGAAAGUCUGACGGAACGACGCCCGUGAAGGAUGACAGCCUGCGGGUUGUAAACUUCUUGUCUCGAAGAAGAAGCUCUGACGGGAUUCGUGGAAUAAGCAUAGGAUAACUCCGUUCCAGCAGCCGCGGUAAGACGGAGGAUGCAAGUGUUAUUCGGAAUGAUUGGGCGUAAAGCGUCUGUAGGCUGUAUAGAAAGUCUUUUGUUAAAUACCUCGGCUCAACCGAGAUCCAACAAAGGAAACUUCUAUACUUGAGGUAAGUUUAGGUACAGGGAAUUCCCGGUGGAGCGGUGAAAUGCGUAUAUAUCGGGAGGAACACCAAUAGGGCGAAGGCACUGUACUGGGCUUUUACCUGACGCUCAGAGACGAAAGCUAAAGGAGUGAUUAGGAUUAGAUACCCUAGUAAUUUUAGCCGUAAACGAUUGAAAACUCACUGUCGAGCGAAUACAACGAGCGGUUGGUCAAGCUAACGCGUUGAGGUUUCCUCCUGGGGUGUAGAUUACUCUUUUGUUAAACUCUUUGAAAUUGACGGGGACCCGCACAAGCGGU